This 269-nucleotide ribosomal RNA is filed under the name uncultured prokaryote. RNAcentral describes it as "partial 16S ribosomal RNA". It matches the Rfam family "Bacterial small subunit ribosomal RNA", at positions 524 to 792 of the family's 1533-position model. The record is from RNAcentral.
UACGUAGGGUCCGAGCGUUGUCCGGAAUUAUUGGGCGUAAAGAGCUUGUAGGCGGUUUGUCGCGUCUGCUGUGAAAAUCCGGGGCUCAACCCCGGACUUGCAGUGGGUACGGGCAGACUAGAGUGUGGUAGGGGAGACUGGAAUUCCUGGUGUAGCGGUGAAAUGCGCAGAUAUCAGGAGGAACACCGAUGGCGAAGGCAGGUCUCUGGGCCACUACUGACGCUGAGAAGCGAAAGCAUGGGGAGCGAACAGGAUUAGAUACCCGCGUA